CGCACAUUGCGCCCCUCGGUACUCCGGGGGGCAUGCCUGUUCGAGCGUCAUUUCACACCCCUCAAGCCUCGCUUGGUGAUGGGCCUCGCCCCCGGGGCGUGCCCGAAAGGCAUCGGCGGUCCGGCGCGGACUCGAAGCGUAGUCAAUCUUCCCGCUUCGGAGCGAGCGCCCGGGCUGGCCGUCAACCCUUAUGCUCCGACAAACUGACCUCGGAUCAGGCAGGGAUACCCGCUGAACUUAA
This 241-nucleotide unclassified non-coding RNA is filed under the name Anzia colpota. RNAcentral's name for it is "partial contains 5.8S ribosomal RNA, internal transcribed spacer 2, and large subunit ribosomal RNA". Lineage: Eukaryota; Fungi; Ascomycota; Lecanoromycetes; Lecanorales; Parmeliaceae. The record is from RNAcentral.